CGGGUCGGGUUGUGUAUUUGUUGCGCUGUGUUAGUGUCAGACCCUGCUUCUCCAGAUCGAGAAGCCCGUAAAACCCCGCCUGCCCCGGCGGGGUUUUGUUUUAUU
This is a regulatory RNA element of Pseudomonas syringae pv. tomato str. DC3000, 105 nucleotides long. It matches the Rfam family "Pseudomonas rnk leader". NCBI's taxonomy places the organism in Bacteria, Pseudomonadati, Pseudomonadota, Gammaproteobacteria, Pseudomonadales, Pseudomonadaceae. The record is from Rfam.